GAAACGUGCUCCAAGAUUAGGAAUCGUUAUGAGACUCGUGAGAGAUUAUCACGUUGAUAGGCUCUAGGUGGAAGUGCCGCAAGGCAUGGAGCCGAGGAGUACUAAUAUGUCCAGUCUCCCGUGCGG
RNAcentral lists this ribosomal RNA (126 nucleotides) under bacterium. Its description in RNAcentral is "partial 23S ribosomal RNA". It matches the Rfam family "Bacterial large subunit ribosomal RNA", at positions 2789 to 2925 of the family's 2925-position model. The record is from RNAcentral.